AUUUAUGGCUAAUUGGGAAGUUGAUUUGUCGGAGAAUCUAGAAGACUACCUUCAAAAUUAUUACCGGAGAAAUCACUGGAAAUGAAGAAGAUGGGCAGAUUCCUAUGAAUUCGCUGAAGGUUUGUGGUAUUUUGCUUCAAUUUUCAGAAAUUUGUUUCUCUUUUGAUUCAACUUAUUCCAUUUUUUAGAGUAAUUGAGAAUUGGGUUUCGAAUUUUGUGUUUCUCUGGAUCUGUGGCUGUUUUCUACUUCAUGGUUCGGUUCAGGUUUACUCCCAAGAAAGUGGAGUACAUGUACAAUUUGGUUCUUCGUACGUUGGAGUUUCUAUCGAAGCAAAGAUGAAGUGAAUUUAUACCAUCGUUGCCACUGUUUAUAUCAGAGGAGUGAUGUCAUCUUUGUCCAGCGCAGCCUAAGAGAUGUUUUAGAAAAGUCCCAACACUUUGAGUUUAAGGUAGAGGAUCUCGACCAGACCAAUAACUAGGAGGCAGUUUUUGGAGAAGAAAAACA
Arabidopsis lyrata subsp. lyrata is the source of this 505-nucleotide long non-coding RNA. RefSeq lists it as uncharacterized. The transcript is spliced from 3 exons. NCBI's taxonomy places the organism in Eukaryota, Viridiplantae, Streptophyta, Magnoliopsida, Brassicales, Brassicaceae. The record is from RefSeq and is a predicted model, not a curated record.